RNAcentral lists this ribosomal RNA (253 nucleotides) under uncultured bacterium. RNAcentral's name for it is "partial 16S ribosomal RNA". It matches the Rfam family "Bacterial small subunit ribosomal RNA", at positions 524 to 776 of the family's 1533-position model. The record is from RNAcentral.
UACGAAGGGGGCUAGCGUUGUUCGGAAUUACUGGGCGUAAAGGGCGCGUAGGCGGUCCCUCAAGUCAGGCGUGAAAGCCCCGGGCUCAACCUGGGAACCGCGCUUGAGACUGAUGGGCUAGAGUUCGGGAGAGGAUGGUGGAAUUCCUAGUGUAGAGGUGAAAUUCGUAGAUAUUAGGAAGAACACCAGUGGCGGAGGCGGCUCACUGGUCCGGUACUGACGCUGAGGUGCGAAAGCGUGGGGAGCAAACAGG